Molecule: ribosomal RNA, 532 nt
Filed under: uncultured bacterium
Lineage: Bacteria
Description: bacterial SSU rRNA
Rfam family: Bacterial small subunit ribosomal RNA
Source: RNAcentral
AGAGUUUGAUCCUGGCUCAGGAUGAACGCUGGCGGCGUGCCUAACACAUGCAAGUCGAACGGACUAUCUGGAAGAUCUUUUCGGAGUGAUUCCUAAUAGUUUAGUGGCGGACGGGUGAGUACGCGUGGAUAACCUGCCUUUCACAGGGGGAUAGCAGCUGGAAACGGCUGGUAAUACCGCUACGCUCAGAGCACCGCAUGAUGCUCUGAGGAAAGAUUUAUCGGUGAAAGAUGGAUCCGCUCUGAUUAGCCAGUUGGCGGGGUAACGGCCCACCAAAGCGACGAUCAGUAGCCGGCCUGAAGGGCGGACGGCCACAUUGGGACUGAGACACGGCCCAGACUCCUACGGGAGGCAGCAGUGGGGAUAUUGCACAAUGGGCGCAAGCCUGAUGCAGCGACGCCGCGUGAGUGAAGAAGUAUUCGGUAUGUAAAGCUCUAUCAGCAGGGAAGAAAGACCCGCAAGGGGGAUGACGGUACCUGAUAAGAAGCCCCGGCUAACUACGUGCCAGCAGCCGCGGUAAUACGUAGGGGGC